Molecule: long non-coding RNA, 2154 nt
Organism: Taeniopygia guttata (zebra finch)
Lineage: Eukaryota; Metazoa; Chordata; Aves; Passeriformes; Estrildidae
Source: Ensembl
UUUUUUUUUGUUUUUUUGGGGUUUUUUUUGUCUGUUUGUUUUGGUUUCGUUGUUACAUCAAUGGCAGCAAAAGCUACCUAUUUCAGUUGUAGGAAGUAGGAUAUGUCUAAUGUCAUGACCUCUGCUGAUGGUCUAGCUAAACGUAGAUGUUUUGUCCCCUUGGUCCUUAUUUGCCCGAAGCUGUGGGUGUAAACAGGGCUUCUCAUAGCCCGUUGUCAAUCCUGAACUAACACUCAAUAGCAGUGUCAGAUCCAGUCUUCUGUGUACCUCUCUGGGAGGCAGCCCGACGCCUUUAGUUACAAGAUAAUUGGUUUUCAACCAUCUCUUCUUUCACUACACCUUCUUGGACUUUCUACAACACAGAAACACUGUGUUUGCAAGUGUUUCUACCAAAAGCAUAAAGAUACUUACAAAUAUGUAGUAAGAGACAGGAAUGUGGAGAUAUUGGUUCUCUGGAGACCUUUUUUUCCACAAAAUAAAGGAGUGUUCUGUCUUCUGUUCAUACUGUAUUUCAAACUAGUUCUGUCUCUUUUUCCUGUGAGUUUGGGGGGGAGGGGGGAAAGAAAGAAGAAAUAUUUAAUUACUUCAAUGAGUGUUGGUUUAGGAUUGGUUGAAAUCUGAUUUUAAAAAUAAUUAAAAUAAAAUGACUAGGUAUAUCAUCUCUUCCCUGGGAGUGCUUACCCCACCAGGGCACUUAAAAGACACAAAUGUCUUCAGAGGUUCACUCUCCAGCACUUGGUACUUUGGCUUGCCUUUUCUAUAUUCAAAUCCUCGCUUUCUUCUGUAACAGGUCUGAACAUUUACAUUUUCUUCCUGAGAUUUAAAGCACAUGAGGCUUAUUAUUCUGUGUAAGUAGGCAAUGAAGUUAAUGUUAUUUCCACGCUUUUGUUCCAGGCUAGGUGGGAUGAUAACUUCCUUUUCUAAAACAGUUUCUAUUUUUCCUUUUUUUCCCUGAAGUUUUCGAAGAUUUUGAACACAGGAUUUAAAGCCUGUAGACACAAUAAAUCUGGGUGAAUUGGAGGGGAUGUUGCCUGUUUUAAAGCUUGGGAGUCAUGUUCUGAAAGAGUAAUUUUUUGUAGUGUGUAAUAGCAAACUCUGCUUUUCUAAGUGCCAUUAUGCCUGAAGGUAUUUUAUUAAAGUUUGACAGAGGACACCGCAAUUGAAAAUAUCCUGUCAAAUUAUUUCAGGCAUCCACAUGCUGGCAUUCACAUGCAAUUGAGGUGUGGUUUUUGUAGCUCACAGCACUGCUGGCUCCUUGUCCAAAGAAUGAACUAGAUUUUCACCAGCUCUGAAAUCACCAUACAUAACUCCAUGCCUAGAACUUUCCAUCCCCUUCAGGCAACUUCCCAAGGAAGUUCUGGGCUUUGGCAGCUCUGAGGCCAAAGCCUCUGGGGAGGUUACACUCUUUUGGCACAGCUUUCCCGAGGAGGGAGAGGCUGGUGAAAAUCCUGUGGGCAUCCCGGUGUGAGUGCCACUCCCCCUGCCAUGUUUCGGAGGGGACUUCCCGGAGCUCUGGGCUUCCUUCCCACGGCAUGGACAGCCUGCAGGCAGGAGGGCCGGUGUGUGAAUGGAUGCGCGAUGUGAAUGAAUGAUGUGUGAAUGGAUGCGCUGCCGCCGUGCCAGCCGAGCUCUGCCAAGCACCUGUCCUCAGACCCCAGCUCGAGAGGCUGAGCUGGGCUCCUGCCCGCCUGGAGGGUCGGGAGAGAAAACUAAAAGCUCCUUCUCAGAAUUACAGGCUACUCUGAGUUGGAAAGGGGGCGACCAGCAUCAUAGGGUCCGACUUGUCCCACCCGCCCUGCCCCAGAUGAGUUUGCGCCCAGACGCCAAACAUCCAACAUGCUCUGUGAUGGGCUCGCUCUCCGUAUGUCCCUCAAAGAGCUAAGAAACAACGUUGUUGUUUGGGUUGUUUGUUUGGUUUGGGGUUUUGGGGGGGUUUUGUUUGUUUGGAUUUUUUGUUUGUUUUUGGGUUUGGUUUUGUUUUGCUUUGCUUUGCUUUGUUGUUUGUUUUUGAGAGAGAGGAAUGAUUCCCCAUCCCUGCCGCUCCCAUUUCUAAAAAUAGAUCAUGAAUGCAAAGGAGGUACAAACUACAGGUGAGCUUUCUUUUUUGUACUUUAAGUGUUAUUUUCAAUAAGAAAAUAAACUAUUUGGCUAUUU